Molecule: small nuclear RNA, 301 nt
Filed under: Peromyscus maniculatus bairdii (prairie deer mouse)
Lineage: Eukaryota; Metazoa; Chordata; Mammalia; Rodentia; Cricetidae
Description: 7SK RNA (ENSPEMG00000003867.2)
Rfam family: 7SK RNA
About the family: 7SK was discovered as an abundant small nuclear RNA in the mid-70s but a possible function has only recently been suggested. Two independent studies have found that 7SK RNA binds the CDK9/cyclin T complex (known as elongation factor P-TEFb).
Source: RNAcentral
GGGUCAAUGAGGGUGAUAUGGCUGUGAUGAUUGUUAUGCAAUGACUAGAGCUCAUUCUCUCAUAAGGCUAUCUGGUAGUGGGUCCCCUCCCUUCCUUACUGAUCCAUCUGGGUCCUUCCCAAGGCUACAUAUUAUAUCAACAAAGAUGACCUUUCUCACAGAGGACCUUUGUUUUUUCCUAGGGUAUAUGAGUAACUGUGUUCCCUGCUAGAACCUCCAAACAAGCUCUCAAAGUAUUGUUAGAAUUAGGAUGUAUGAUUCUAAAAAAUUCUUCAGUGAUAUCUGUCCAAUGGCCUUCUGU